RNAcentral lists this long non-coding RNA (748 nucleotides) under Zonotrichia albicollis (white-throated sparrow). RNAcentral describes it as "lncRNA (ENSZALG00000011444.1)". Lineage: Eukaryota; Metazoa; Chordata; Aves; Passeriformes; Passerellidae. The record is from RNAcentral.
GUGAACCGAUUGAACUGCUGAGUGGUCUUGAGCUGUCUCUUAUCACAUGCCUCUCCCUGCUGGCUGUUUUGCCUCUUCCUUCAAGAUCAGGAACCAAGUUGCUUCUCCAAAACACUUCUGUCUGUUAGUGAUAGUCCCAUAUGUAUUCACACCUGAAGAUUUCAGUGUUUUCUGAAGACUGCAAUGCAUACCAACAUGAUAUUUACAGCUGCUUGAGACUCUCCACUGGCUGUGGGCAGAAGCAGAGGUUGCAGGACUUCCUCCAUCAAAAUGCUAAUGGGCCAGCAUCAGAGCUGGGACUCCAGGGAAAGAACUGGGCUGUUCAUCUGUGCACCUCCAUCCAUAAUAUCACACAGGAGGCAAUGUCAGCUGGAAGCUAAAAAAUGAAGAGAAAGUCUGCUCUGUUUUCUCAGGAUAACACAGAAGUUGAACUUCAUUGCUCACACCUUGCCUGUUCUCACAGGGGAAGCAAAGGCUUUACAGUGAUCCAGAUACAAGAGGAAAUGCUGAACAGCAAAAUGCAGACAUUUGUGACAUAAAGUUAGAAAAAGUGACCUACAGGUAGAUGUGCUGAACCCUUACACCUUUUACAUGCAAUGUUCACCCCCAAGACAGAUGAUGUCAAUCAAGUCCUGUGCUGUUAUAUGCUUACAGAAAGGUGAGCGCAGGAAAAACAUUUGAAUUUAGAGAAAAAAAUACAUAAAUCAAGAUGGGAAAUAAAGUCCAAUUUGGUGAUGAGGGCUUGCCA